GACGAACGCUGGCGGCGUGCCUAAUACAUGCAAGUUGAGCGCUGAAGGUUGGUACUUGUACCGACUGGAUGAGCAGCGAACGGGUGAGUAACGCGUGGGGAAUCUGCCUUUGAGCGGGGGACAACAUUUGGAAACGAAUGCUAAUACCGCAUAAAAACUUUAAACACAAGUUUUAAGUUUGAAAGAUGCAAUUGCAUCACUCAAAGAUGAUCCCGCGUUGUAUUAGCUAGUUGGUGAGGUAAAGGCUCACCAAGGCGAUGAUACAUAGCCGACCUGAGAGGGUGAUCGGCCACAUUGGGACUGAGACACGGCCCAAACUCCUACGGGAGGCAGCAGUAGGGAAUCUUCGGCAAGGGACGAAAGUCUGACCGAGCAACGCCGCGUGAGUGAAGAAGGUUUUCGGAUCGUAAAACUCUGUUGGUAGAGAAGAACGUUGGUGAGAGUGGAAAGCUCAUCAAGUGACGGUAACUACCCAGAAAGGGACGGCUAACUACGUG
RNAcentral lists this ribosomal RNA (497 nucleotides) under uncultured bacterium. Its description in RNAcentral is "partial 16S ribosomal RNA". It matches the Rfam family "Bacterial small subunit ribosomal RNA", at positions 28 to 507 of the family's 1533-position model. The record is from RNAcentral.